Long non-coding RNA from Haliotis rubra (blacklip abalone), 548 nucleotides. RefSeq lists it as uncharacterized. The record is from RefSeq and is a predicted model, not a curated record. Lineage: Eukaryota; Metazoa; Mollusca; Gastropoda; Lepetellida; Haliotidae. The transcript has 3 exons.
GUAUAAAUACUGCUGAAACACAACGUUACCGAAACAGUCGACAUCAAGAAGUUUGCCGCGGUCCUGGUGUUGCUCUUCUUCACCGUUGUCGGUGUUGCUGCCGGUGCUGCCGGUGCUGCCUUUACACCUGGAGGGUCAUUCGAAGAACGUUCGGGAGAGAAGAUCGUUGAUGGCAUUGAUGUGUCCAAAUUAGACAGCCAGUCCCUGAGCGCCUUCAUGGACGCGGAGGAUGAGAAGCUUGUUGGUGAACUGGAUCUUUAAGUUGCAAGUCGAAUUCUGUCAAGCAACACGACGGAACAAAAGAGAUGGUUUUCCCUUGUGAGGUAUGGACCAAGAAUUUUCAAGGCGGCAAGAACCUUCUACAGAAAUUUCCGACGCACCCCGGUGUAAACCUCCCGGAGAGGAAAGUGGGUCACUCGCCAGUACACGAAUCCGUCAGGCACGUUCGGGCAAGCAAAGAGGGACUUUUUCAAAAUGAAACCGACCCAGGUGAAACCAAUAAAUGGAGGAUACAGAGUAAACUGGGAAAACACAACAUCAUCGUCCGU